AAUAAUAAUAAAUAAAUAAUAUCACUCUCUCCAAUAUGAGGAGGCCACACAAUAAAGCUGUUGGAGGGGUGGAAAUUAAAAAAGAAAAAAUCGGACAACUCAUUACUAAGGGUCUCUUUCACCAUUUAUCUUCAAUAUCUCAAUCCCCACUCAGGAUAAGACAUGCAUUCCCAAAAGACUCCACUGAGGGAAAACAAAUUUUGUCCAGAAUUUCCAUUCUUCCCUUGGGGACCACACACAGGUCUCAUCAUCUCUCCAUGAAAAAAUCUCUUUUGCAGCAAAAAAAUCCAUAUCUUAGAAAAAGAUAAAAAAAAAACGGAAAAGAGGAGGACGUUUCUUCUUCUCCUUCAAAGAACUUCUUCAUCGUCCAUCCACCGGAAACACCUGACACAUCUACCACAUAAACCUCUCACCACCUCCUUCUUCCUUGAUUCAUACAUUCACAAAUCCGCUCUUCUUCCACCACCUCCAAGAUGGCGUGAAUAACCCACAAAAUGAG
Molecule: long non-coding RNA, 499 nt
Filed under: Lathyrus oleraceus (garden pea)
Lineage: Eukaryota; Viridiplantae; Streptophyta; Magnoliopsida; Fabales; Fabaceae
Description: Pisum sativum (pea) long non-coding RNA (PSAT_LNC004404)
Source: RNAcentral